Molecule: ribosomal RNA, 465 nt
Filed under: Vreelandella stevensii
Lineage: Bacteria; Pseudomonadati; Pseudomonadota; Gammaproteobacteria; Oceanospirillales; Halomonadaceae
Description: partial 16S ribosomal RNA
Rfam family: Bacterial small subunit ribosomal RNA
Source: RNAcentral
CCUACGGGGGGCUGCAGUGGGGAAUAUUGGACAAUGGGGGCAACCCUGAUCCAGCCAUGCCGCGUGUGUGAAGAAGGCCCUCGGGUUGUAAAGCACUUUCAGUGAGGAAGAACGCCUGGUGGUUAAUACCCAUCAGGAAAGACAUCACUCACAGAAGAAGCACCGGCUAACUCCGUGCCAGCAGCCGCGGUAAUACGGAGGGUGCGAGCGUUAAUCGGAAUUACUGGGCGUAAAGCGCGCGUAGGUGGCUUGAUAAGCCGGUUGUGAAAGCCCCGGGCUCAACCUGGGAACGGCAUUCGGAACUGUCAAGCUAGAGUGCAGGAGAGGAAGGUAGAAUUCCCGGUGUAGCGGUGAAAUGCGUAGAGAUCGGGAGGAAUACCAGUGGCGAAGGCGGCCUUCUGGACUGACACUGACACUGAGGUGCGAAAGCGUGGGUAGCAAACAGGAUUAGAUACCCUAGUAGUC